CUUCUCAAUAUGUAUGAUGUACCAGUUAAGACAAUCUUUUGCACUUUCUGUAUGAAUGGUAACCCAGGGAUCAUUCUUAAAUAAUUUUCAGUUCCUUUUUUGAUCAUUCCAAGUGUUCCUACAAUCACUGGCGUUGUAACUGUUUUGAGAUGCCAUCUUUGCUCCUACUACUGUGUGGUAUUAUUAAUGUUGAUUAGUUUUGACUUUUGUCCUGUACUUGAGAUAAUCAUAAAUAUGUGAGGAUUGGAGGAGAAAGUAGGAAAAAGAAGCAGCUUGAUCAAAUUCCACAGUGAUUGCAAAAGCAACAGAAGUUUUGACAAUUAUGGGUUUAACCCUGUUGAUACCAACCCCACUGAAACCACUUCUGGCUCUCUUUGGUAAUGAGUGGUGAAAAAAAUGCCAUCAGAGACAUUUUAUGCUACCUGAAAAAAGAUAAAAAAGAAAGAAACUGAGUGUAUGGGUAGUAGCAAAAGCAAUUGAUAAUGCUAACGAAUGUGUGACACAAAACUGGUUCAGAUGUUUCAAGGAAGGUGACACCAGCCUCGAAGACAAACAAUGGGGAUGAAAAAUGGACCUAUUUGCAUAAUCCUAAUAAGAGAAAUUAGUGGCUUCAUUCCAGCUAGACUUCAGUAACUGUUGUCAAACAUGGGUGGCUUGAACAGAAGGUCAUCUUAUGUGUUUGUUGGAAUUUUGAGGGGAUAUUGCGCUUUGAACUUGUUCUAGAUGGUCAUGUUGUGAACACUAACCUUUAUACUCAACAACUGCAGUGAGUGUAUGAUGCUGUGAAAGCUAGCAUUGGUUAGUUGAAGAUGCACACUCCUACAGAAUGGCAAUGCUCCAGCACACAGUGCAAUGUGACUAAGUGCAAAUUUGAGGGAGUUGGAAAGCUGGAAGUGCCAUGUCACUCUGCCUACAAUGCAGACUUUUCACCAUCAUAUUACCAUCCUUUUGGAGCCAUGGCUCAUUUCCUACAUGGACAGAGGUUCAACAAUGUGAAUGAGGUUGAAAUUGGAUUCAGGGUGUUUUUUUCUUCUAAACCAGUGAAAUGGUACUAGUGUGAAAUUAAGCUUCUGGCACUACAAUGGCAACAAACAAUAAAGUAUGAUAGGAUAUAUUUUUACGAAUAAAUGCUUUACAUCCA
Molecule: long non-coding RNA, 1141 nt
Organism: Octopus sinensis (East Asian common octopus)
Lineage: Eukaryota; Metazoa; Mollusca; Cephalopoda; Octopoda; Octopodidae
Exons: 3
Source: RefSeq, a predicted model, not a curated record